This 460-nucleotide ribosomal RNA is filed under the name uncultured bacterium. RNAcentral describes it as "partial 16S ribosomal RNA". It matches the Rfam family "Bacterial small subunit ribosomal RNA", at positions 338 to 795 of the family's 1533-position model. The record is from RNAcentral.
CCUACGGGUGACAGCAGUGAGGAAUAUUGGUCAAUGGGCGCGAGCCUGAACCAGCCAAGUCGCGUGAGGGAAGACGGUCCUAUGGAUUGUAAACCUCUUUUGUCGGGGAGCAAAAGACGCCACGCGUGGCGUUCCGAGAGUACCCGAAGAAAAAGCAUCGGCUAACUCCGUGCCAGCAGCCGCGGUAAUACGGAGGAUGGGAGCGUUAUCCGGAUUUAUUGGGUUUAAAGGGUGCGCAGGCGGAAGCUCAAGUAAGCGGUGAAAUUGGGGGGCUCAACCCGUUCGGGGCCUUGGAAACUGGUUGGCUUGAGUGAGUGAGAGGUAGGCGGAAUGCGUGGGGUAGCGGUGAAAUGCAUAGAUAUCACGAAGAACUCCGAUUGCGAAGGCAGCAUACCGGCGUGCAACUGACGCUGAGGCUCGAAAGUGUGGGUAUCAAACAGGAUUAGAUACCCUGGUAGUC